This is a long non-coding RNA of Homo sapiens (human), 887 nucleotides long. RefSeq lists it as uncharacterized. The transcript has 3 exons. Lineage: Eukaryota; Metazoa; Chordata; Mammalia; Primates; Hominidae. The record is from RefSeq and is a predicted model, not a curated record.
AGGAAUGACACUCAUCGCAUAGGAUUUUAGUGAAUAUUAAGUAAGGCAAUCUGUUAAUAAUAAAAUUACCUUUCUACAUGUUUUUAUUUUUAACAGAUCAAUAAGCAUUUUCAGAGCAAUUAGGUCAUUUCUCCAAGGUCACAGUCUAUAAAGCAGAGCAGGGUUUUUCACAUAUCUCACAAGGCAAGGUGAAUAUAAGCUUUAAAUUUGUCUGUAUUAAUUAAUGAAUCCAUAUUCCUAAUGCCUAGUAACAAAUCCUACAUUCACUCAGUUCUUCAGGAGCCAAGAGAAGAUACUGAUCCUGAGGGGGCUGGAGCAGCUCCAGGUCAGUGUCAGGGGCUGAGACCAGCAUUGGAAGAGAAGGCGUGCGGCUUAGCAUGGAGGCCAGGAGGGGAAACGCAAAAAGCCAGCAGAGCCAGCUGCUUGGACCCAGGGGUCCUUGGUUGUUCCCAGGGCCCAGGUCAUGCCCUGUAAGAGUGGAGCUUAUGAAGUUACCCACACACCUAUCUCCAGAGACUCUCAUUUCCAACCUGCUCGGGACCCAAGAAGGCUCAGUUGUUCAGAUCUAAAAACGCAUUACAUAAUUUUCCUCGCCAUUCAUUCUUCUAUAUGAUAGCAGGGAGAAAAUCCGCUUUCGUGCCUUGACAGAUGUGCGGUUGCUAAUUUAACUAGGGCUGCUUGGAGGAGGGAAGAUUCUGUCCUGCUGCGGGCCCUGCUGUGCAACUCAACUCAUGACCGAUCCUGCAGAUCACAGGAGACCCCGCAGUGCUGGAAGAACCCAGAGCUCAGGGCAAAGGGGAGCUUCGAGCGCUCCUAAAAUAUAGGUCUUCGCCUAUCAUUUUAAAAUGAGGUUUCUUUUCUUCUCCCCAGCUUCUGCUUUCUCCUAG